UACGAAGGGGGCUAGCGUUGCUCGGAAUGACUGGGCGUAAAGGGCGCGUAGGCGGACUGCACAGUCAGGCGUGAAAUUCCUGGGCUUAACCUGGGGACUGCGUCUGAGACGUGUGAUUUAGAGUGAGGAAGAGGGUCGUGGAAUUUCCAGUGUAGAGGUGAAAUUCGUAGAUAUUGGAAAGAACACCGGUGGCGAAGGCGGCGACCUGGUCCUUGACUGACGCUGAGGGACGAAAGCUAGGGGAGCAAACCGG
This 253-nucleotide ribosomal RNA is filed under the name uncultured bacterium. RNAcentral's name for it is "partial 16S ribosomal RNA". It matches the Rfam family "Bacterial small subunit ribosomal RNA", at positions 524 to 776 of the family's 1533-position model. The record is from RNAcentral.